GAGAGAUUAGCUCAAUUGGAUAGAGCGUUGGCCUCCGGAGCCAAAGGUUGCGUGUUCGAUUCACGUAUCUCUCA
This 74-nucleotide transfer RNA is filed under the name Treponema sp. RNAcentral describes it as "tRNA-Arg". It matches the Rfam family "tRNA". Rfam says of the family: Transfer RNA (tRNA) molecules are approximately 80 nucleotides in length. Their secondary structure includes four short double-helical elements and three loops (D, anti-codon, and T loops). Further hydrogen bonds mediate the characteristic L-shaped molecular structure. tRNAs have two regions of fundamental functional importance: the anti-codon, which is responsible for specific mRNA codon recognition, and the 3' end, to which the tRNAs corresponding amino acid is attached (by aminoacyl-tRNA synthetases). tRNAs cope with the degeneracy of the genetic code in two manners: having more than one tRNA (with a specific anti-codon) for a particular amino acid; and 'wobble' base-pairing, i.e. permitting non-standard base-pairing at the 3rd anti-codon position. The record is from RNAcentral. Lineage: Bacteria; Pseudomonadati; Spirochaetota; Spirochaetia; Treponematales; Treponemataceae.